GCUCGACUUUUUUUUUUGUUUGUAGUAAAUGAAAAGGGGGCCAGCCCUACAGCUUGGAUAAGCAUUUUUUGUUGCGUGAAAAAUGGAGUUUUUAUGCAGACAUGUGCUUGUUUAGUUACAGAAGCAAAAUCGUUCGGCUUGGAUAAGUACCCUGAACAGCUCGAUUAAUCAUACUGACGUGCUACCUAAACGCUGCUCAUACACUAUAACCAUCUUCUCAAGCAAGGCGUCUAUCUGAUAGCUGUAACGAGAGCAGCAGUGACCAGUCAUCAGUGUGGGGGGGGCUGAUUGUUUAUGCGCUGAUGGCACAACGGAUUACGAAUAAAGUAAUGCAUGAUUAAACUUUGAUCGGGGCAGUAGACUUGGUCUUUUAUAUAGCUGUCGGGGUGGCAUGUUUUGUACGCUUGCCCCAAGGUUUGUGUUCUUGAGCUGUCCUGCGUCCCCCACUCCACCUCGCCCUUGGGCUUCCCGUGAACCAAACCAUUCGGAGAGAAAGAAAAUGGUAGGGGAGAAGGUAGUAGGAGGCAACAGAGCAUCCUAUGCCCCCUCCUACGACCAAGAAACUAACAAACCGGCCAUGCCGCCAGAUGUGACCAAACCAUUGUCUGCUUCCAAAGUUCGGCAAAACAACAAGGUUCCAAUUAAUGGCCUACUCCUAAAUUGGUUUCUCAUACAGAACGCGAAAAACACAGACAUUUUCUUUUACUGUAUGCUUAAUAAUAAUAGGUCUAAGGUCAAUACUGAUU
This 746-nucleotide unclassified non-coding RNA is filed under the name Zea mays. Its description in RNAcentral is "misc RNA Zm00001eb068010". The record is from RNAcentral. Lineage: Eukaryota; Viridiplantae; Streptophyta; Magnoliopsida; Poales; Poaceae.